This 346-nucleotide small RNA is filed under the name Pongo abelii (Sumatran orangutan). RNAcentral describes it as "retained intron". The record is from RNAcentral. Lineage: Eukaryota; Metazoa; Chordata; Mammalia; Primates; Hominidae.
AUGAAAUAGUAUUAUUUUAGAUAUUUUAUUUACCUAGUCUUUGUGUCCUUAAAUUUAAACCUUAUUGUGCAUUAAUUAUGUAUUUGGGCUCUCUAGGUCUCGGUGAUUCAGAAUACACCUACUUUUGCAAUGGGGGGAAGAUAAUUGAUAAACGACUUCAAGAGCUUGGAGCUCGGCAUUUCUAUGACACUGGACAUGCAGAUGACUGUGUAGGCUUAGAACUUGUGGUUGAGCCAUGGAUUGCUGGACUCUGGCCGGCCCUCAGAGAGCAUUUUAGGUCAAGCAGAGGACAAAAGGAGAUAAGUGGCGCACUCCCGGUGGCAUCACCUGUGUCCUCGAGGACAGA